AUUUAAAUAGCUUAAAUAAAAGCAUAGUAUUGAAGAUACUAAGAUGAUUAUUUUAUCUUUAGAUA
RNAcentral lists this transfer RNA (65 nucleotides) under Sialis jiyuni. RNAcentral's name for it is "tRNA-Phe". The record is from RNAcentral. Lineage: Eukaryota; Metazoa; Arthropoda; Insecta; Megaloptera; Sialidae.